Molecule: long non-coding RNA, 1044 nt
Organism: Xenia sp. Carnegie-2017
Lineage: Eukaryota; Metazoa; Cnidaria; Anthozoa; Malacalcyonacea; Xeniidae
Exons: 4
Source: RefSeq, a predicted model, not a curated record
AACAAGCUCUGUGUGUCGCUGUAAAAUAUGACACGUGUCACAACAAUACUGAAUGCUUAUUCGCUACAUAUUGUCACGUGGUCUGUAUUUCAAAAGAAUCUAUUUUUGCUCUUCUUUCUAAGUUUCUUCUAUUUUUUAUUGACAAACGCUUAUAUUUUGAUUGUCGAGCAACAAGCAACGUGUUAUUUUUAAUGGACGCAUAAUGCUGGGCUAGGAGGCUCUUUGACGCCAAAGUUCCAGUAAAUUUUAGAUUCUCGGAGACUCACAGUAAAUUAAGUAGGAAACUAAUUUAAAAAAUGCGCAUAUAUAAUUGUUUAAACAUUCUUGUACUCUAAUUUUAUAUGCACAUUCAGGCGACAAAUGAAGGCGGAUCAGACAACUUCAAUAUGCGUCCCAUUUUCACCUAAAGUACGUAGCGUAAAGAUACUACUCAAGCGCUUAUCUUGAGCAGGUGGGGACAGUGAUUCAAUUCCAUGUUUCUUUGAAUUGUAAGAUGCUGAAGACAAUGGUGGUGAUUACGUAGCGUAAAGAUACUACUCAAGCGCUUAUCUUGAGCAGGUGGGGACAGUGAUUCAAUUCCAUGUUUCUUUGAAUUGUAAGAUGCUGAAGACAAUGGUGGUGAUGUCUUACGAGGCUAAUUACGGUAGAUUUCACUGAAAAUCAUGCGGCCCUUUGAAAAUCACUUGUGAGAAAUGUCAGGGUGACUGGAGACCAUCUAACCAUCUAAUAAAUAAUAAUAAUAAUAAUGAUGAAAAUUAUUUUAUAAUAAUAAACAUUUUUUAUAAUACGCGAUGUCUCAAACGCUGUUUCUCUACUAAAGGCAGGAGAUCUUCUUAGGUCAACAUCAUAAAAGUUGUAUGUAAUUAUAUUUUCCUGAGACGUUGUCAACGUUGUUAGUGAAAGCAAGAGUUUGAUUAAUAUGAUGCACAGAAUUAAUCUUGCGCUGAAGAUGAUAAAUAUUAUACUGUAAAGCUGUGACCAUCUGGGGAACUUAUCAAAAUUGAAACUGUGCAGGUCAUAUAAUUAAAACAUCAAGCCAUUGAA